RNAcentral lists this unclassified non-coding RNA (227 nucleotides) under uncultured Geminibasidium. RNAcentral describes it as "sequence contains ITS2". Lineage: Eukaryota; Fungi; Basidiomycota; Geminibasidiomycetes; Geminibasidiales; Geminibasidiaceae. The record is from RNAcentral.
ACACCUCAACCCUCCAAUGUUUUUGCAUUGAAGGCGUUGGUAGUGAGCGCUGCCGGACUUUUGAAUCGGCUCGCUUUAAAAUCAUUAGCUGGAUCCAUUCUGACCUGGUUCUACUCGGCGUAAUAAGUUAUUAUCGUCGAGGACGCCUAGCCUUCUAGGCAGGCGGCCACAGUAAGGGUGUUUGAACCGCUUCCAACACGUCUUGCUCUUGUAGCAAACACUUGAAC